RNAcentral lists this ribosomal RNA (459 nucleotides) under uncultured bacterium. RNAcentral's name for it is "partial 16S ribosomal RNA". It matches the Rfam family "Bacterial small subunit ribosomal RNA", at positions 338 to 795 of the family's 1533-position model. The record is from RNAcentral.
CCUACGGGUGGCAGCAGUGAGGAAUAUUGGUCAAUGGCCGAGAGGCUGAACCAGCCAAGUCGCGUGAGGGAAGACGGCCCUACGGGUUGUAAACCUCUUUUGUCGGGGAGCAAAAGACGCCACGCGUGGCCUUCCGAGAGUACCCGAAGAAAAAGCAUCGGCUAACUCCGUGCCAGCAGCCGCGGUAAUACGGAGGAUGCGAGCGUUAUCCGGAUUUAUUGGGUUUAAAGGGUGCGCAGGCGGAAGAUCAAGUCAGCGGUAAAAUUGAGAGGCUCAACCUCUGCGAGCCGUUGAAACUGGUGUUCUUGAGUGAGUGAGAAGUAGGCGGAAUGCGUGGUGUAGCGGUGAAAUGCAUAGAUAUCACGCAGAACUCCGAUUGCGAAGGCAGCAUACCGGCGCUCAACUGACGCUCAUGCACGAAAGUGUGGGUAUCGAACAGGAUUAGAUACCCCAGUAGUC